Molecule: long non-coding RNA, 7608 nt
Organism: Antechinus flavipes (yellow-footed antechinus)
Lineage: Eukaryota; Metazoa; Chordata; Mammalia; Dasyuromorphia; Dasyuridae
Exons: 2
Source: RefSeq, a predicted model, not a curated record
UUUCAUUUACACAUGCUUAGAUAUAUAUUUGAUCUCUCCCUUCUUUACUCUUGUUUUCUUUCACUUCUCCCUGAUGUACAUCCAUUAAAGUAUAAAUUGAGACCUGAAAGGGAAAGUAGAGAUCAUUUAAGUUUAACUGUUUAUUUUACACCUGAGUUUCUGAGGCUAGUAAAUUAAGUGAUGUGUUGGAAGGCCACACAGCUAUCUUUAUAGAUAUAAGACAGUGAUAAUUAUUUUUUCUUCCUGAGUUUUCCUUUUCUGUUAUCUUACAGUUGUCAGGUAAAGAUGUACCUGUUGAAUGUUCAUGUCAAAAUUUGCAAUGCUUUAUCCAGCGUAAACUUUUCAAUUUCCAUAUAUUUAAGUAUUUAUCUAACAGUACACAUGGCAUAUAUCCUAACAACUAUUGAGAGGCAAGAGGCAUGUAUAGAACUUUUUGCUUUAGGGGAGGGAGAGAAUGUAUUUUCAAUGAAAAAUACCUGGCAAAAUAAAAUAUCAAAGUGAAAUCAAAAAGGAUGAAAAGCAGUAGCAAGUACCAUGGAUAGUGUGAUAGAGUUGGGGUCAGGAAAAACUAAGGUCAGUCCUUCCUCAGACAUUUAUUAUCUACUGGAUCCUGGGCAAGUUUUUAACCUCCAUUUAUUUCAGUUUACUUAUCUAUAAAAAAGGGGACAAUAAUAGCACCUAUUUCCAAAGUUGUUAUAAAGAUAAAAUGAGAUAAAUAUUUGAAAAGCAUUUUGCAGACCUUAAAGGACUAUAUGAAUAUUAUUGUUAUUAAUUCCUCUGGUAAUGUUUUUAAUGUUUUAUUUUACAAAAAGAAGGGAAAAUUCUACAUAAAAGUAUUAUUUACUUCAAUUUUUGCUAUUUUUUCAAUGGAAAACAUUUAUCUUUUUCCUCAAUUUCCACCUUCAUCCUCUACAACAAAAAAAGAAAAACACUUAUAAUAAUUAUUUGAUUAUAAUAAUAAUCAAAACAAAUUCCCAUAUUGGCCAGAUAUGUCCAAAAAUUUGUAUCUCGUUCUUCAUGUUUAAUCCAUUGCCUCCCCAUUAAGAUGGCGUAACAUUCUUCAUUAUUAGUUUUCUGGAAUCAUGAUUGAUGAUCACAUUGAACCAAGUACUUAGUUUUUCACAGUAAUUCAUUUUUGUAGCAUUGUUAUUAAGACUAUAAAUUAUUCUCCUGGUUCUGCUUACUCUACUCUGCAUCAGUUUAUUUCAUUUCAGAACCUGAUUAAAAUCAGUCUUUCCAGGGUUUUCUGAAAUGAUUCCCUCCUCCAAUUCUGUUGGCAGUACAUUUCAUUCUUUUUAUUUUUAUUUUGGGGAGCAAUUGAGUUAAGUAACUUGCCCAAGGACAAACACCUAGUUAGUGUUAAAUGUCUAAGGUCAGAUUUGAAUUAGAUCUUCUGACUCCAGGGUCAGUGCUCUAUUCACUGCACCAUCUAGCUGUCCCAGUACAUUUGAUCCACAUAUCACAAUUUCUUCCUAUACAUCAUAUACAUAUAUACAUCAAUAUAUGAACAAACCCUCAAUUUCCAGUCUUUUGACAUGUAUGUGUAAAUACCCCUUUUCAUUUUCUUGUAUCUUUUUGCAAUAUAGAUUUAAUAAUGUAUCUCUGGAUCAGUGAUUUAUACAUAAUUUAGUAACUUCUUUGGGCAAAACUCCAAACUGCUUGAAUUUGUAUAAUUUUAUUAACCAAUUAAUCAUUGUAUUUUUAUUUAGACUUGGUCCUAUGUGUACUUCUUUCAUUAUACUUUUGAUGGACUCAUGAUUUCAUUAUAGUCUUCCCUCUACUAAUAUAGCUCAUGACUACCUCAUGCAUUGUCUUUCUUGCUAAAUAUUUGUUGAAAUGAAUUGAAUUUUAUUGAAUCCUAAAAGUUAUCAAAAUGUGCAUACCCUUUAGCAGAAUCUCUAUGGGGCUUAUAUCCCAGGGAAAAGGGACCCAAGUGUGCAAAAAUGUUUGUGACAGCCCUUUUUAUAGUGGCAAGAAAUUGGAAACUGAAUGGAUGCCAAUCAGUUGGAGAAUGGCAGAAUAAAUUGUGGUAUAUAAAUGUUAUGGAAUAUUAUUGUUCUGCAAGAAACGACCUACAGGAUGAUUUCAGAGAGGCUUGGAGAGACUUACAUGAACUAAUGCUAAAUGAAAUGAGUAGGAUCAGGAGAUCAUUAUACACAGCAACAAGAAGACUAUACGAUGAUCAGUUCUGAUAGAGGUGGCUCUCUUCAACAAUGAGAUGAUUCAAAACCAAUUCCAUUUGUUCAGUGAUGAAGAGAGCCAUCUACAUCCAGACAGAGGAUUGUGCGAACUGAGUGUGAACCACAACAUAGCAUUUUCACUCUUUCUGUUGUUUGCUUGCAUUUUGUUUUCUUUUUCAGGUUUUAUUUUUUUUCCUUCUUGAUCUGAUUUUUCUUGUGCAGCAAGAUAACUGUAUAAAUAUGUAUACAUAUAUUGGAUUUAACAUAUUUUAACAUAUUUAACAUGUAUUGUACUACUUCCCAUCUAGGGAAGGGGAUGGAGGAAAGGAUGGGAUAAUUUGGAACAGAAGGUUUUGCAAGGGUCAAUGUUGAAAAAUUACCCAUGCAUAUGUUUUGUAAAUAAAAAGCUUUAAUAAAAAACAAAACAAAAUUAAUUUUAUUGAAUCCUAUGUGAUUUCUCAUAAUUUGGGGAGUAAGUUGUCCAGAGAAUAUUCAAUCCUUUUUUGGUUAUUUACCUUUGUGAUAAUGCUACUUCUUAUAUACAGGUUGCCCUUAAUUAAAUAGUGCAGUCUGUUUAUUCUUGGCAAAAUUUUAAUUCUUUAAGAUAUAGUAUUUGUUUGCAGUCAUUACCAUAGGAACAGGAGAUGUAGUUGGAUUGUCCUUAGUGUUCAAAGAAGACCAAAAUGACUUCACUAUGUCAGGGUCAAGAACACAGUGUGUCUAAUAGUGGGUGAUUUUGGAAGAUUUGGGCACAAAUAAUUCAUGUGAAUAUUUGGAGUGGAGAUGUUUCUAAAGUUGCUCAUUUCAUAUUUCUUUUGAGCCACUGCAAUUUUGUUUUGUAAGGUAUUAGAAAUAGGUUUUUCCAGCAGCAGGUAUUUGGGGUUCAUUGACAGUAAUGCUGAAAAAUCUCCCAAAUCUCAUAUAUCUCCAUCUUAUUUUCCUAGUCAUUUUUGAAUUCAAUUCAUUUUUCUUUUUGCUGUUGUUUGAGUGCAUAAAAUUGCCCAAAAAAUUUCUUUUUCCAUUGUGCAUAGUUAUAUCUUUCAUAUCACUAUGGAUCACCCAAAGUCAGUUGAAAGGUCAUCCAAUACAAUCUAUAUUCAAAGAGGCAUAAUCUGUAAUAUACACAACAAGUGGUCAUCCAUUAUUCAUUACUGACGGGGAAUCUUCCAUCUAUUCACACUGGCAUGAUCUAAGGAAAGGUUUACUACUUUUCUAGCCUGUGCUGUGGCCAGAGUGCUUGGCAUUUUUUUUGUCCUGAAACUGUAAGGAGGGUGCUUACUGUACUGUGGCUGCAAGCUCCUCAACCUAUGGCCUGCAUCAGACUAUGGACAAAACAGCAGAGUUUUGCCUUAGUGCUAGCAAAGAGACCCUUGUAAUCUUCUAGACUGUUGCGCAAUCCCCUUCUUGUCUGGAACUGAAAACUCCAGAAGUUGCCACUGCUGAUUUCAUUGGUUCCCAAAGCCUGUUCCUGGCUUGUUGGUGCUGGGACUAUGCUGUCUUGGCCUGUGCUUUGAAGUCUGUUGACUGAGAGGUUUAGAAACCAUCCCUGCUACCACAGAGGUAGCACUGAUUCAGUUGCUUUGAGGUCCUGGUUUGCUAGGGCUAGGGUUAUACUGACAUGGUUUAGACUGUUCUUCAAUCUCAUUCUGGUGUGACAGAUCUUUCAUCCUGAUCUUCUAAGUUGUCUUGGGCUGGAAAAUUGUUUCACUCUGUCCUUUUUUUCUUUUUUGGUGCUGUUGCUCUAGAAUUUGUUUAAAGGUUUUUGAACAGGUUUGGGGGAGAGCUUAGGUGAGUCCCUGCUUUUACUCCAUAUCUUGGUUCCACCUCCAUCACAAGUUCAUUUUAUUUUUCCUUAUAUCUUAUGAUUGCUAAAUCUGUUCUUGAUAAUCCUUUUUAUAUUCUCUAUCCCUCAGUUCUUUCCCAAAGCUUCAUGUAUUCCUGUGUAAUCUUGUAUUUUCAUUAGAAACAGAUGUUACCUACUGGUCAUCCUGCCAUCUAGAGGAGGGGGUGGGGGGAAAGGAAGGAAAAAUUGGAACAAAAGGUUUGGUAAUUGGCAAUGCUGUAAAAUUACCCAUACAUAUAACUUGUAAAUAAAAAGCUAUUUAAAAAAAAAAAGAAAAAGAAAUAGAUGUUGUAUUUUGCCAAGCUUUUUCUGCAUCUAUUGAAAUAAUAAUAUGAUUUCUGUUGCUAAUAUUGAACUAAUCUGCAUUCCUUAUAUAAAUCCUACUUGGUAUAAGGUAUUAUUGUAAUGAUAAUCUGCAAUGUCUUUGAUAACUUUAUUUAAAAUAUUUGCAUCAGUAUUCUUUAGGUACAUUAGUCUAUAGUUUUCUUUCUGUUAUGAGUUCAAAUGUUGGAGUUCUUGUUCUUCUCAAAACACAGGGCUUAGAGGCUUAGAGCCCUCCGAAUAUCUCCAAAUCCAAAGGUUCUGUCCUUCAGCCUCUGCCUCUGCUUUCUUCAGCCUCCAACCAACACAGAGAUGGAAUGUCUCUCUUGUCUCCUUCUGGGGAGCCCAGCCACCAACUUGCCGUGGAGAGAGGGCUUCUGGCGUAGCUCCACUGAAAUCCGUCAAAGUGUUCUCUGCACCAGAGUCGCUCCUCUCGAGUCCAGCUGAACUCUCUUCUGCGACCAGCCAGCCAAGAGGAAAAAAUGUAUUCUGUCUUAGAUCCCUCAUCGCUGGCCUUUUAUCUGACUCUUCUGAGAGAAUGGGAUUAUGGGUUUUCUCCCAUAGUGCUCUCUGGCCCAAAGAGCUUUAAGGGAGGUGUGGACUCCCUUGAAGUUAGAAAGUUUACUUUGUGAAGCUGGCAUACUUGUAACUCCAAUGAGUAAAGGUGUGAACACAAGCAUUGUAUUAAUUAGUUCUACUUAGUACCUUGUUUCAGGUUCUGGCCAAAAUCUUCUUGUAAGAUUAGAUCAACUCUAAUUAGUUAGCAGUUAGUAAGGAUUCCAACAUCUUUCCCUUGGCUCUUCCUCGUUUAGAUAUUAGCACUAUAUUUGUGUUGUAAAAGUAAUUUGGCUGGACUCUUUCUUUACCUGUUUUUCGAAAUUGUAUUGGAAUUAAUUUUUAAAUGCUUGAUAGAAUUCAUUUGGGCCUAAAAAUUUUUUCUUAGGGAGUAGUAAUUGUUGAUGACUUAUCAAUUUUUCCCCCUAAAAUGGGAUUAAAUAUUUUAUUUUCUCUUCUAUUAAUCUAGGCAGUUUAUAUUUUUAUAAAUAUCCAUUAGUUAAAAUGUAAGAUUUAUUGGCACUGGACAGUAUGUUUCUUUAAUUUUUUCUUCAUUUGUGGUGAUAAUUUGGUUUUCUUAUUUCUUUUUUAGAAUCAAAUCAAGCAAAGAUUUAUCCAUCUAUGGAUUUUUUCAUAAAACCAGCUCUUAGUUAAGUUUUCUCACUUUUAGUUUUAUUAAUCUUUCCUCUGAUUUUCAGAGUACCUAAUUUGGAAUUUAAGGUUUAAUUUGUUCUUUUUCUAAUUUUUUUUUUUUUUAGUUGCAUGCCCCCAAUCCAUUGGUCUCCUUUUUCUCUAUUUUAUUCAUGUAAGCAUUUAGAGAGAUAAAAUGUCUCCUAAGAACUGUUUUAUCUGCAUGCCAUAAAUUUUGGUAUGUUGUCUCAUUAUUGUUAUUCUCUUGGGUGAAAUUGACAAUUGUUUCUAUGAUUUGUUCUGUCCACUUUAGGAUUAGAUUAUUUAGUUUCCAAUUAACUUCAUGAUCUGAAAAAGAUACAUUAUGAGAUGGGUUUUUUUGCCAUCAUACAUAGUCAGUUUUUCUUUUAAGUGAUAUGUAUUGAGAAAAAUGUAAAUUCCUUUCUUAUACCUAUUAAUUUUUUCCCAAAAUCUGUCAUCUAAUUUUCCUAAAAUUCUGUUUAAAUACUUUUUUAUUUUGUGGUUAGAUGUAUUCUAAAAGGGCAAAAUUGAAGUCUUCUACUAAUAUUAUCCUAUUGUCUCUUCCUGUAACUCAUUUAACUUCUUUCCUAAGAAUUGGGAUAUUGGAACAUAUAUGUUUAGUAUUGAUAUAACUUCACUGUCUAUGGUACCUUUUAGCAAGAUGUAGUUUCCUUCCUUGUCUUUUAAUUAGAUCUAUUUUUGCUUUUGCUUUUGUAUGAAACCAGACCCUACCCUUGCUUUUUUGUACUUUGGCUGAAGCAUAAUAUAUUUUGCUCCAGCCUUUAACUUUUAGUCUGUGUGUGUCUCUGCUUCACAUGUGUUUUUUGUAAAACAUACUGUAGGAUUCCGUUUUUAAUCCACUCUGUUAUCUACUUCUGUUUUAUAGGAGAGUUCACUCUAUUAAAUUUCAUAGUUAUUAUUAUUUGUAUAUUUUCCUCCAAUCCUGUUUCCCUGCAAAGUUUAUAAUUUUAUCUCUCCUUUCACUUUUUUCCUUUCCCAGAGUUGAGCAUUAGCUCAACAUUAUACUCUUUGAAUUCCAUUUGACUCUUUUAUGUUUGUCCUGUUGUCAUUCAAGUACUAACAUAGGAUUACUCCAACCUCCUACCUUCUCUAUUCCUUGUCAUCUGCUACUGAAUGAUGGAUUUUAUCUAUCAUCAUACUGACUAUAUCCACUACAAAUUUGUUAGAUAAUCUCAAUUGGCCCUUCAGCAAGACAUUGCUAUCUACUCCCUGUUUUCUGUUUUACUUCUUGAAACUUCUUGACAUCUUUCCCCUUUUCACUUUUUUUACUGCAGUCCUUUGAUGACUCCUUAGCUAAGCUAAUUUCCCCACUUAAACCUUUCACCUCCUAUCUUCUGUAUCUCUAAUCUUCAGUUGCUUCCCAUCUACUGCCUCAAUUUUCAACAAUUCUCUCCCAUCAUUAAUACUUUUUCCUGAUUCCCACAAGCUUUUUUCAUUAGAAUGUUACUUACAUUUGGGCAGUCAAGAUCUGUGUUCAAAUUCAGCCUUAACCACUCAUUAGGAAACUUAAUCUUUUUUUCCCCCUUCAGUUUCUUCAUAUGUAAAAUGGGUAAUAAUAGCACUUAGCAUCUAGAAUUGUUAUGAGGAUCAAAUAAGAUAAUAAUAGUAAAGCACUUACGUAAAUGUUAGCUGCUAGUGUUGUUGUUUUCAUUAUCAUAUAUUCAGUUUUUGUGUCAUUGAUUCAUUUAUUUAACUUUAGAGUUCUUGUUUAACAUCACUAAACUGAAUCAAUAAUUAUUUUAUAAUGCCCUCCUUGAAAAUUUUCUACUCCCUUAUAUGACCUACAAAUUUUUAACCAAAAUACUUAAUUACUUUCUUUUAGAAUAAUUGAAAUAAAUUGCAGGGAUGGGUUUAAUAUUUUCAUCCCUCAUAUAUUUUUAUAAAUGAAAGAAUAUAUUCUUUGAACUUUCUUUAGAGAAGAAUUAGAGGUAGUAAUCUGUUAAAAUUCUUGAAGUUUUUUCCAUGAAUAUUCAACUUCAAAAGUUUUUGAUGAAAAUUAGAAUUGUGAUGUCUGAAUAAAGCUUUUCUUGACCUUGU